GCAUCAGUGGUUUAGUGGUAAAAUCCAUCGUUGCCAUAAAGGGUUAGUCUAUACUACUAUCCUUUCAACUUCGAUGGGCCCCGUGUUCGAUUCACGGCUGAUGCA
Molecule: transfer RNA, 105 nt
Filed under: Lachnellula hyalina
Lineage: Eukaryota; Fungi; Ascomycota; Leotiomycetes; Helotiales; Lachnaceae
Description: tRNA-Gly
Rfam family: tRNA
About the family: Transfer RNA (tRNA) molecules are approximately 80 nucleotides in length. Their secondary structure includes four short double-helical elements and three loops (D, anti-codon, and T loops).
Source: RNAcentral